ACUGCAGGCUGCAACUCGCCUGCACGAAGUUGGAAUUGCUAGUAAUCGUGGAUCAGCAUGCCACGGUGAAUACGUUCCCGGGUCUUGUACACACCGCCCGUCACACCAUGGGAGCCGGUAAUACCCGAAGUCAGUAGUCUAACCGCAAGGAGGACGCUGCCGAAGGUAGGAUUGGCGACUGGGGUGAAGUCGUAACAAGGUAGC
Molecule: ribosomal RNA, 204 nt
Filed under: uncultured bacterium
Lineage: Bacteria
Description: partial 16S ribosomal RNA
Rfam family: Bacterial small subunit ribosomal RNA
Source: RNAcentral